UCGCUUGAUUUAUUCAAGAGGAAAGUCCGGACACCGCAGGGCAAUAGUGCUAGAUAACGUCUAGUGAGGGUGACCUUAAGGAAAGUGCAACAGAAAAUAACCGCCACAUAUUGUGGUAAGGGUGAAAAUGUGAGGUAAGAGCUCACAAAAUGCUAUAGAGAUAUGGCAUUGGUGUAAACCCCACUUGGUGCAACACCAAAAAAGAAAGGUAAAGACGGCCCGUCAUCUUUCGUGGUUGGUGGCUUGAAAUAUACAGCAAUGUAUAUUCUAGAUAAAUGACUAUUUAAAACAGAAUCCGGCUUAUGAA
This 307-nucleotide RNase P RNA is filed under the name human gut metagenome. RNAcentral describes it as "Bacterial RNase P class A". It matches the Rfam family "Bacterial RNase P class A". Rfam says of the family: Ribonuclease P (RNase P) is a ubiquitous endoribonuclease, found in archaea, bacteria and eukarya as well as chloroplasts and mitochondria. Its best characterised activity is the generation of mature 5'-ends of tRNAs by cleaving the 5'-leader elements of precursor-tRNAs. The record is from RNAcentral.